RNAcentral lists this ribosomal RNA (463 nucleotides) under Epiplatys singa. RNAcentral describes it as "partial 12S ribosomal RNA". It matches the Rfam family "Bacterial small subunit ribosomal RNA", at positions 875 to 1533 of the family's 1533-position model. Lineage: Eukaryota; Metazoa; Chordata; Actinopteri; Cyprinodontiformes; Nothobranchiidae. The record is from RNAcentral.
GGGGACUACAAGCAUGAGCUUAAAACCCAAAGGACUUGGCGGUGCUUUAGCCCCACCUAGAGGAGCCUGUUCUAGAACCGAUAACCCUCGUUAAACCUCACCCCUUCUUGUUAUAUUACCGCCUAUAUACCGCCGUCGUCAGCUUACCUUGUGAAAGAAUAAUAGUAAACAAAAACGGUUUAACCCAAAACGUCAGGUCGAGGUGUAGCGAAUGAAGGGGGAAGAAAUGGGCUACAUUUCCUAAAUGUAGGAAAUUACGGAAUAUUACGAUGAAAAAGAAUAUAAAGGAGGAUUUAGCAGUAAAUGGAAAAUAGAGUGUUCCGUUGAAACUGGCCCUGAAGCGCGCACACACCGCCCGUCACUCUCCCCUAAUCUAUUCUAUUUUUUAAAUAAAACAUUAUUUUGAUGCAAGGGGAGGCAAGUCGUAACAUGGUAAGUGUACCGGAAGGUGUACUUGGAAAAU